CUCGAAUUAUAUCUCUAUCGGGCAGCACAGUUGUUUCUGAUUCCAGCUCCACAGUUCACUGUUGGGAGCGCCUUGAUGAAGGAAGUCGCUUAUCCUUUUUGAACCUUAGUGUCCUCAUACAUAAAAUGUGAAAAAUAGUAAAACUGUUCUCAAACUAUUCCUGACAGACUACGUGUCAUAUGCUCUCAGAAAGAACACUGUUAGACUACAGACCUCCUUGAAAUUUCAUAUUUAAUUCAAUCUAUCUUACACUAAAUCUGGAAAUCUGGAGUAGGUGGGAUAAGUCCUCUCUCUCUCUCUCUCUCCCCCCCUCUCCCGCCCCCCCCCCCACUUCUUCAAGAGAAGCCACUUCUUAGUGUCUGCAACUCUAAUGGCUUCUUGAUCUAAUUAGUGGACAAAGAGACAAUGUGAUUAAAAUGACAGAUUAACCUGCUCCCAUCAAGACUUCAUCCUGUUUUUUGUAAUUCUUUCCUUACCUAGUUUUUUAUCUGUUGCCCGUCUUAAAUGUAGCUUUAAAUGGAUUUGGACUCCUCAGGAGAAUUUGCUAAUGGUCUGAACAAGUGUGUAGAGCACUGCAAAAGAUUUGGAUACUAUUGCCCGUUUUGAUCUAUUCUGCCGAUCUCUACCAAGAACUUGAUUAAAGAUCUGAGAUGCUGUCCCUGCCCUACCCAAGGUCAAGAAGUCAAAGUCUGCAGCUCUGCAAAUGUAUUGGAAUUCUGGAUAAAAUGAGCCUGAUGUAUUAUUGACUUUCUUGGUGGAGAAAACCAUUCUCUCCCUUCACAUUGGUGAAUUCUUGUACUCUGCAAUUAAAGCGUGUGCCAGUUCUCGGUAAGCACUCAGCAUUGUGGAAUGAAUUGUGUUGUUCCAGACAGAAGGCCCAUCAGAGUCCUGGGCUUCCCAUGGAUGCA
RNAcentral lists this long non-coding RNA (908 nucleotides) under Macaca mulatta (Rhesus monkey). RNAcentral's name for it is "lncRNA (ENSMMUG00000058763.1)". The record is from RNAcentral. Lineage: Eukaryota; Metazoa; Chordata; Mammalia; Primates; Cercopithecidae.